GCUUUUUGAUACUUGAAUAAAAAGUAUGGUCUGCCCAGUGAAAUUUUAACGGCCGCAAUAUUUGUGCGAAGGUAGCAUAAUCAUUUGUCUUUUAAUUGAUGACUGGAAUGAAUGGCUGGACGGAGAAAAGCUGUCUCUUUUAUAUUUUUUAAAAAUUUACUUUCAAGUUAAAAGGCUUGAAUAAUAUAGAGGGACGAGAAGACCCUAUUGAGUUUUAUAGCUAAACUUCAAAUUUUUCUUUAAUUUUAAAUAAUAGCUAUUUAGUUGGGGUGACUUUAUAAUAAAAUCUAUAUUAGAAUUAAUAGACAUUAAGUUAUUAGGAUCCAUACUUUAUGAUAAAUAGAUCAAAUUACCUUAGGGAUAACAGCGUAAUAUUUUUUUAGAGUCCAAAUCGAUUAAAAUGCUUACGACCUCGAUGUUGGAUUAAAGAACCUAAUUGGAGAAGAAGCUAAUUUAGGUAGUCUGUUCGACUAUUAAAUCUUUACA
This 486-nucleotide ribosomal RNA is filed under the name Nymphon unguiculatum. RNAcentral's name for it is "partial 16S ribosomal RNA". It matches the Rfam family "Bacterial large subunit ribosomal RNA", at positions 1818 to 2600 of the family's 2925-position model. The record is from RNAcentral. Lineage: Eukaryota; Metazoa; Arthropoda; Pycnogonida; Pantopoda; Nymphonidae.